RNAcentral lists this unclassified non-coding RNA (823 nucleotides) under Hermetia illucens (black soldier fly). RNAcentral describes it as "general odorant-binding protein 99a-like, transcript variant X1". The record is from RNAcentral. Lineage: Eukaryota; Metazoa; Arthropoda; Insecta; Diptera; Stratiomyidae.
AUCACACACCGGACCAUAUAUAAACAGGCUGCAAUGUUAGCAAGCCGAAUCAGUUGUCGUGAACUUGCUGUGCGAAUUUUACUUAGACCCAAGAAGUUGCCAAGAUGAAAUUUCUCGUUUUAUUGGCCGUGAUUGGUGUUGCCGCUGCAACUUACACCAUUAAAACCCACGACGAUUUGAUCAAAACCCGUGGUCUUUGCGUCAAGGAGUUAAAUGUUCCCGACAACUAUGUGGAGAAGUUCAAGAAAUGGGACUUCCAGGACGACGAGACGACCCGGUGCUACAUUAAGUGUGUCCUCAACAAGAUGGAAUUGUUCGAUACUGCCAAUGGAUUCAACGUUGAAAACUUGGUAGAGCAACUUGGCCAAAAUAAGGAUAAGACCGAAGUCCGCACAGAAGUUACUAAGUGCAGUGACAAGAAUGAACAAAAGUCUGACGAUUGCACUUGGGCCUACCGUGGAUUUAAGUGUUUCCUUUCCAAGCAUUUACAAUUGGUUCAAAGCAGUGUAAAGUCCUAAAGAGAUCAUGUUGAAUAAUAUUCGGUGAUAUUCAAGGAGAAGAACAUGUGAAAUAUAAAAGUUUUCAAAUUUACAGAUUUAUCGUUUUUACUCGCUGAAUCCUGGAACACUGAUCGUUCUAAAACACUCAAAACUCUUAAAAACUAGUUUGGAGCGGAUCACCAAAAUUCUAAAAGAAGCGCUUCCCAAAAUUAAGUUUUCUUCAGAGUGAAUGGGUUGCGUGAGGGUAAUUUCUUCUUCUUUUCAUCCCGACAGUUCCUGCAAAAUGAUGCGCUUGCGAAAACAAUAUAAACCAUAUGAAUAAA